This 500-nucleotide ribosomal RNA is filed under the name uncultured bacterium. RNAcentral's name for it is "partial 16S ribosomal RNA". It matches the Rfam family "Bacterial small subunit ribosomal RNA", at positions 30 to 523 of the family's 1533-position model. The record is from RNAcentral.
AUUGAACGCUGGCGGCAUGCCUUACACAUGCAAGUCGAACGGCAGCACGGGAGCAAUCCUGGUGGCGAGUGGCGAACGGGUGAGUAAAGUAUCGGAACGUGCCCAGUCGUGGGGGAUAACGUAGCGAAAGUUACGCUAAUACCGCAUACGAUCUAUGGAUGAAAGCGGGGGAUCGCAAGACCUCGCGCGAUCGGAGCGGCCGAUAUCAGAUUAGGUAGUUGGUGGGGUAAAGGCCCACCAAGCCGACGAUCUGUAGCUGGUCUGAGAGGACGACCAGCCACACUGGGACUGAGACACGGCCCAGAUUCCUACGGGAGGCAGCAGUGGGGAAUUUUGGACAAUGGGCGAAAGCCUGAUCCAGCCAUGCCGCGUGCAGGAUGAAGGCCUUCGGGUUGUAAACUGCUUUUGUACGGAACGAAAAGGACUGCCCUAAUACGGUGGUCCCAUGACGGUACCGUAAGAAUAAGCACCGGCUAACUACGUGCCAGCCGCCGCGGUAA